UAGCUAGCAAGGAUAUGGCGGCAGCCUCCUAAGCUGUAAGCCGGGGGUUCGAAUCCCUC
This 59-nucleotide transfer RNA is filed under the name Methanothrix thermoacetophila PT. RNAcentral's name for it is "Methanosaeta thermophila PT tRNA". It matches the Rfam family "tRNA", at positions 8 to 63 of the family's 71-position model. Rfam says of the family: Transfer RNA (tRNA) molecules are approximately 80 nucleotides in length. Their secondary structure includes four short double-helical elements and three loops (D, anti-codon, and T loops). The record is from Rfam by way of RNAcentral. Lineage: Archaea; Methanobacteriati; Methanobacteriota; Methanomicrobia; Methanotrichales; Methanotrichaceae.